Molecule: ribosomal RNA, 253 nt
Filed under: uncultured bacterium
Lineage: Bacteria
Description: partial 16S ribosomal RNA
Rfam family: Bacterial small subunit ribosomal RNA
Source: RNAcentral
GACAGAGGGUGCAACCGUUGUUCGGAAUUACUGGGCGUAAAGCGUGUGUAGGCGGCCACGUAAGUCGGAUGUGAAAGCCCCAGGCUCAACCUGGGAAGUGCACUCGAUACUGCGUGGCUUGAGUAUCGGAGAGGUUGGUGGAAUUCUCGGUGUAGAGGUGAAAUUCGUAGAUAUCGAGAGGAACACCGGUGGCGAAGGCGGCCAACUGGACGAAUACUGACGCUGAGACACGAAAGCGUGGGGAGCAAACAGG